GAUGAACGCUGGCGGCGUGCCUAAUACAUGCAAGUCGAGCGAACAGACGAGGAGCUUGCUCCUUUGACGUUAGCGGCGGACGGGUGAGUAACACGUGGAUAACCUACCUAUAAGACUGGGAUAACUUCGGGAAACCGGAGCUAAUACCGGAUAACAUGUUGAACCGCAUGGUUCAACAGUGAAAGACGGUCUUGCUGUCACUUAUAGAUGGAUCCGCGCCGCAUUAGCUAGUUGGUAAGGUAACGGCUUACCAAGGCAACGAUGCGUAGCCGACCUGAGAGGGUGAUCGGCCACACUGGAACUGAGACACGGUCCAGACUCCUACGGGAGGCAGCAGUAGGGAAUCUUCCGCAAUGGGCGAAAGCCUGACGGAGCAACGCCGCGUGAGUGAAGAAGGUCUUCGGAUCGUAAAACUCUGUUAUUAGGGAAGAACAAAUGUGUAAGUAACUAUGCACGUCUUGGCGGUACCUAAUCAGAAAGCCACGGCUAACUACGUG
RNAcentral lists this ribosomal RNA (497 nucleotides) under uncultured bacterium. RNAcentral describes it as "partial 16S ribosomal RNA". It matches the Rfam family "Bacterial small subunit ribosomal RNA", at positions 28 to 507 of the family's 1533-position model. The record is from RNAcentral.